Molecule: transfer RNA, 72 nt
Filed under: Polistes fuscatus (common paper wasp)
Lineage: Eukaryota; Metazoa; Arthropoda; Insecta; Hymenoptera; Vespidae
Description: tRNA-Phe
Rfam family: tRNA
About the family: Transfer RNA (tRNA) molecules are approximately 80 nucleotides in length.
Source: RNAcentral
UCCUGGAUAGCUCAAAGGUUAGAGCAUUCGCUCAAAAAGCGAAAGACCCGGGUUCGAAUCCCGGUCCAGUAC